GGGCCAUAGUUUGGUGGUAGAUAAUCUGCUUUGCAUGCUGAAGGUCCCAGGUUCAAUUCCUGCCAUCUUCA
Molecule: non-coding RNA, 71 nt
Organism: Podarcis lilfordi (Lilford's wall lizard)
Lineage: Eukaryota; Metazoa; Chordata; Lepidosauria; Squamata; Lacertidae
Source: the annotation of a GenBank genome assembly